AGUUUKAAUCCUGGCUUCAGRAKUGAACGYUGGCGGUAGRCMUUAACACAUGCAAGUCGAACGGCAGCACAGGRGRAGCWUGCUCYWUKGGUGGCGAGWGGCGGACGGGUGAGGAAWUACAUCGGAAUCUACUCUGUCKUGGGGGGAUAAACGUAGGGAAAMUUACGYUAAUACCGCAUACGACUACGGGUGAAAGCAGGGGAYCUUCGGGCCUUGCGCGAUUGAAUGAGCCGAUGUCGGAUUAGCUAGUUGGCGGGGUAAAGGCCCACCAAGGCGACGAUCCGUAGCUGGUCUGAGAGGAUGAUCAGCCACACUGGAACUGAGACACGGUCCAGACUCCUACGGGAGGCAGCAGUGGGGAAUAUUGGACAAUGGGCGCAAGCCUGAUCCAGCCAUACCGCGUGGGUGAAGAAGGCCUUCGGGUUGUAAAGCCCUUUUGUUGGGAAAGAAAUCCAGCUGGCUAAUACCCGGUUGGGAUGACGGUACCCAAAGAAUAAGCACCGGCUAACUUCGUGCCAGCAGCCGCGGUAAUACGAAGGGUGCAAGCGUUACUCGGAAUUACUGGGCGUAAAGCGUGCGUAGGUGGUCGUUUAAGUCCGUUGUGAAAGCCCUGGGCUCAACCUGGGAACUGCAGUGGAUACUGGGCGACUAGAGUGUGGUAGAGGGUAGCGGAAUUCCUGGUGUAGCAGUGAAAUGCGUAGAGAUCAGGAGGAACAUCCAUGGCGAAGGCAGCUACCUGGACCAACACUGACACUGAGGCACGAAAGYGUGGRGRGCAAACAGGAUUAGAUACCCUGGUAGUCCACGCCYUAAACGAUGCGAACUGGAUGUUGGGUGCAAUUUGGCACGCAGUAUCGAAGCUAACGCGUUAAGUCSSCCGCYKGG
This 885-nucleotide ribosomal RNA is filed under the name Stenotrophomonas sp. Its description in RNAcentral is "partial 16S ribosomal RNA". The record is from RNAcentral. Lineage: Bacteria; Pseudomonadati; Pseudomonadota; Gammaproteobacteria; Lysobacterales; Lysobacteraceae.